RNAcentral lists this ribosomal RNA (353 nucleotides) under uncultured bacterium. RNAcentral's name for it is "bacterial SSU rRNA". It matches the Rfam family "Bacterial small subunit ribosomal RNA", at positions 32 to 361 of the family's 1533-position model. The record is from RNAcentral.
AAUCAACGCUGGCGGCGUGCCUCAGACAUGCAAGUCGAACGCGAAAGGUUCCUUCGGGAGCCGAGUAGAGUGGCGCUCGGGUGAGUAACACGUAGGUAAUUUGCCUUUGGGUGGGGAAUAACAAUCGGAAACGGUUGCUAAUACCGCAUAAUGCAGCGGCUCGACAUCGAGACAGUUGUUAAAGCGGGGGAGUCCUUCGGGACCUCGCGCCUAAAGAGAAGCCUGCGGCGGAUUAGCUAGUUGGUGAGGUAAUGGCUCACCAAGGCGACGAUCCGUAACCGGCCUGAGAGGGCGGACGGUCACACUGACACUUAAAUACGGGUCAGACUCCUACGGGAGGCAGCAGUCGGGAA